AGAUUGAACGCUAGCGGGAUGCUUUACACAUGCAAGUCGAACGGCAGCGCGGACUUCGGUCUGGCGGCGAGUGGCGAACGGGUGAGUAAUAUAUCGGAACGUGCCCAGUCGUGGGGGAUAACGUAGAGAAAUUUACGCUAAUACCGCAUACGAUCUACGGAUGAAAGCGGGGGACUCGCAAGAGCCUCGCGCGAUUGGAGCGGCUGAUAUCAGAUUAGGUUGUUGGUGAGGUAAAAGCUCACCAAGCCGACGAUCUGUAGCUGGUUUGAGAGAACGACCAGCCACACUGGGACUGAGACACGGCCCAGACUCCUACGGGAGGCAGCAGUGGGAAUUUUGGACAAGUGGGCGAAAGCCUGAUCCAGCAAUGCCGCGUGCAGGAAGAAGGCCUUGGUAGUAACUGUCGUUUUAGUACGGAACGAAAGGCUUACUUUACUAAUAAAGAGGACCAUAGACGGUAACCGUAAGUAA
RNAcentral lists this ribosomal RNA (471 nucleotides) under uncultured soil bacterium. Its description in RNAcentral is "bacterial SSU rRNA". It matches the Rfam family "Bacterial small subunit ribosomal RNA", at positions 26 to 489 of the family's 1533-position model. The record is from RNAcentral.